UCCGGUUUGUCACCGGCAGUCCCACUAGAGUGCCCAACUGAAUGUAGCAACUAAUGGCAAGGGUUGCGCUCGUUGCGGGACUUAACCCAACACCUCACGGCACGAGCUGACGACAGCCAUGCAGCACCUGUGCACCUCGCCUUGCGGCCAUCGCCUUUCAGCGACUGAACGGCACAUGUCAAGCCCUGGUAAGGUUCUUCGCGUUGCAUCGAAUUAAACCACACGCUCCGCU
Molecule: unclassified non-coding RNA, 232 nt
Filed under: uncultured bacterium
Lineage: Bacteria
Description: contains 16S-23S intergenic spacer region
Source: RNAcentral